This 806-nucleotide ribosomal RNA is filed under the name Frankliniella occidentalis (western flower thrips). RNAcentral describes it as "eukaryotic LSU rRNA". It matches the Rfam family "Eukaryotic large subunit ribosomal RNA", at positions 1 to 610 of the family's 3401-position model. Lineage: Eukaryota; Metazoa; Arthropoda; Insecta; Thysanoptera; Thripidae. The record is from RNAcentral.
GACCUCAGUUCAGGUGAGAUUACCGGCUGAAUUUAAGCAUAUUACUAAGCCGAGGAAAAGAAACUAACAAGGAUUCCCCUAGUAGCAGCGAGCGAACAGGGAAGAGCCCAGCGCUGAAUCCCCCGGGCCUCGCUCGGCGGGAAAUGUAGCGUUUGGGAGGGCCCGUCAACACGGCGACUCGCUCACUGGUUCAAGUCCAACUUGAAUGGGGCCACACAGAGGGUGACAGGCCCGUAGAGCAGGAGCGGUUGUCGUGUGGGUCUCUCCUUAGAGUCGGUUUGCUUGAGAGUGCAGACUUAAGUGGGUGGUAAACUCCAUCUAAGGCUAAAUAUGACCACGAGACCGAUAGCACACAAGUACCGUGAGGGAAAGGUGAAAAGAACUUUGAAGAGAGAGUUCAAGAGUACGUGAAACUGAAGUGGUGUAAACGGACGAGUUCGAAAAGUCCGAAUGGUGAGAUUCAAGCUUACCGUGCCGGUGGCCCUCGGGUUCAGAUGGCGUCGUCAGCUCGGGCUUCGGUUCGGGUCAUACGGCGUCACUCGUCCUGGGGGUAUCUGUCUGGUGCGGUGGGCUGCACUUCUCGCCUAGUAGGACGUCGCGACCCGUUGGGAUGUUCCGUUCACUGGCCCUCGGUGGAGCCCGCGCCGGAGCGUGGCCUUGUGCCGCGUUGCUGUUUGCACGGACCCGGGGUGACCUGAUCGGCGCCCGACGGUAUCAAAGCUUGGGAAGAGGCCGCACAGAGGAUGCGUUCGAUGGCCGUUUCGGCCUACACUCGGACAGGCCUGCACCCGGUCAGCGGCGCUUCU